Molecule: non-coding RNA, 3746 nt
Organism: Camelina sativa (false flax)
Lineage: Eukaryota; Viridiplantae; Streptophyta; Magnoliopsida; Brassicales; Brassicaceae
Source: RefSeq, a predicted model, not a curated record
UCAAUUUUGUGACCGUUGUUUGGGGUUCUCAAUUGAUAAACCCAGAAGAGACUUCUCAAUCGAUUUUGUGACCGUUGUUUGGGUUCUCCUCUUCCUUCUCUAAAAGUCCGAGAGAGAGAGCCAUCUCCGAUCCGAUCAGGUUAUGUUGUUAUCAUCUUCUCUCUCUGAAUCUUUCAAUUUUACCAAUCUUUCUCUCUCUCACUCUAUGAUUCUCAUAUAUGUUGCUUCUCCGUCAUCGAAAUUGUCAGCGCGAUCAGGUUAUGUUAUCUCUCUCUCUCGCUCUCUCUCUUUCAAUUUCAUCUCUCUCACGCUCCGCCAUUGAUGAUUCUCAUAUAUGUUGGUACUAGGGUUUUGAUAGGUCCCCUCUUCAAAGAACAACAAGAUCGAUAGUUUGUGUCAUAGGUAAUAUGAUUCUCACAUCUGGUUUAAUCAAGGACGACGAUUCUCCUAAAGAACAAAGAUGAUUUCGUAUCCUUCAAUUUAAAAUUGUUUUGAGAUUUCUGAUUCUGAUUCGUUGGCUCUUCGGCUCAUAAAAAGGAUUUCUAUGGUAUUGUGAUUUCGGUAGGACAUGUAUUUUCUAUUACUAUGAAAUUCAUAAAUGAAAUAGUUAAUCGUGGGGGUUACCAUUACUAUGAAAUUGUUUUGAAAUUUCUGAUUCUCUAAUUCAUAAAAAGGAUUUUCUUGUUUUGUUUUCCGACGGGACUUGAUGGCACAUCGCACGAAGACACGCAUAGUACUAGUCUCGUCUCUUCUAUGGUUUCUCACGGGUUAAGGGGAGCAAUUCGUCUCAGAUUCAGUUUUCUUCCCAAGAAGAUGAAAUAAACUCCAUGGUUCUAAUGGUUGCAAAGAUGAACGAAUAAGAAUGAAUAUGCAUUUUCAUGAUCGUUGAUCAGAACAUAUGAAAGGCUGAAGGUAAAAGAAGCCAUGAGCGAGGCGAAGAGAACAAAUAAGCUCUCUAGAUUCUCUCUUAAAUGUCACCUCACAUGUUUUUAGCGAGUAGUAGAAAAUAAUUUUGGGGUCAGCCAGUCAAUAACGAAGACACAUAUUUCUUGUAAGAAAGAGACGAGAUAGGAAAAGGUAGCUAAUCAAUCUAAAAUCUUUUGCAGUUCUUUGCUUUUGGGUAUAAAAGUAAGUCAACGUUACAUGAUCUUUUGUCAGUUCUUUGUUGCUUUUUAGUUCAAAGAUAUAGACAAUGUGGGUUCCUAACAUAUUAUCUUUGAUUUAGAUGUCUUGGAGACUGAAGACGUGAAUAAACAUGCCUAACCUUAUCAAAAACUUGAUGCCUCUAGUACUUAUAUCUCUUGGGACAGGGAGAGAGAUUGAAAACCGUUCAGAGACAUGAAACUAACUAGCAGUCGAAGUUGUGGAGCAGGAAUUAGUCAAAACAGCUGGGAGAAGGAUGUCAACAACUUGGUACAGGAUAAGCUUAAGUGACACUCAAAUCACGGAUGCUGCUCCAGAAAAUUGUAAAGCUUCAAUAAGCCAGUAAAACAGAGAAGAAAUGCUGAUGAAAAAGAAGCAAAUCAUUUAUCGCUAAGUAAGUUUUAAUUUACUCAAUUCAACCAGAAUAUGCUUAGGUAAAUCACCUAAUACAAGACUACUUAGACACAAUCUCGACUUAAUCUCCAGUUUUUCACAGACUAUAGAUGAAAAACUGCUCUUUAGGCGUUUUCUGGUUAGAGUUUACAGAGACCUCGAGACUCGAGCUGAGAUGAUGAUGUCCACAUCAAUUUGAAACUAAAGGAUCCCUUGAAGCCUAAACAACAAAUAUCUGCCUACAUUAUUACGAGAGGAGUGCGCUGCUUUAAGAGAAUUUGAGAUAAAGAUGAAUCGGAGAAGAGUGGAAGAACUUGUCUGCAAAAUGAAAGGGUCUCUAAGAAAAGGAAACUAAAGGAUCCCUUGAAGCCUAAACAACAAAUAUCUGCCUACAUUAUUACGAGAGGAGUGCGCUGCUUUAAGAGAAUUUGAGAUAAAGAUGAAUCGGAGAAGAGUGGAAGAACUUGUCUGCAAAAUGAAAGGGUCUCUAAGAAAAGGAAACUAAAGGAUCCCUUGAAGCCUAAACAACAAAUAUCUGCCUACAUUAUUACGAGAGGAGUGCGCUGCUUUAAGAGAAUUUGAGAUAAAGAUGAAUCGGAGAAGAGUGGAAGAACUUGUCUGCAAAAUGAAAGGGUCUCUAAGAAAAGGAAACUAAAGGAUCCCUUGAAGCCUAAACAACAAAUAUCUGCCUACAUUAUUACGAGAGGAGUGCGCUGCUUUAAGAGAAUUUGAGAUAAAGAUGAAUCGGAGAAGAGUGGAAGAACUUGUCUGCAAAAUGAAAGGGUCUCUAAGAAAAGGAGAUAUAUAUGGAACAUGCGGAAAAAAGUAGAAGAAGCAAGAGCGAGAAGAAGAGCAUAAAGAAGAAUUCCAAAUUCUCAAGGAAGGGAAAACCAACAAUGCCACUAAGGUUAGUUACUUAUCCCACGAGCUGCCAAGGGCUACAAGACAUGUGUAUAGACAAAGGUAGAGCUCAAUAUCUUAUGGAAUUGAUGGUCACGACAAUCUUGAUAAAACGUGUUUCUAGUCAUGUAGGUUUUCACAUGGACAUGAACAUUAAUGUCAAAUUGGUUUUCAGGUAUAUUAAUGGUUCCUAUCUAAUCCGAUCAUCCAUAUUGAGUAUAGAGAGUAUUGGUAAUGAGACUUACAAAGGGAAACUUCUUAUAUAAAUGUCAAAUUGGUUUUCACAUGGACAUGAACAUUAAUGUCAAAUUGGUUUUCAGGUAAAUUAAUGGUCUUGUUCCUAUCUAAUCCGAUCAUCCAUAUUGAGUAUAGAGAGUAUUGGUGAUGAGACUUACAAAGGGAAACUUCUUAUAUAAGAAGGCUGCCUUGCGAGAGGUUAAACAAUUUUUGAGGUAAGUAACGUGAACUCUUAAAGCUAAUUUGUGCGGAUAAAUUGUUAGUACAGGUUGCAGAGAUGAAUCGGAGAAGAGUGGACGAACUUUUCAGCUGAACAAAAGAAAAGGUCUUGUCCCAUAUCAACUGUGUGAAUCAAUUUCUAAUCUGUUUGCAUAUUAUUGAACAAGGUGAUAUAUAUGGAAGGCAAUGAAAGGCUGAAGGUAGAAGGAAGCCAUUAGCGAGGGGAAGAGAACAAAGAAACUCUCUAGAUUCUCUCAAUAAAGGGAAAAUUGUAAAUGUCACCGAGGUUAGUAUCUACCUCACAUGUUUUUAGCGAGUAGUAGAAAAUCAUUUUGGGGUCAGCCAGUCAAGAACGAAGACACAUCUUUCUUGCAUAAGAAUGAGACGAGAUAGGCAAAGAUAUGUCUUAAAGACUGAGAACGUGAAGAAACAUGCCUAACCUUAUUAGAAACUUGAUGCCUCUAGUACUUAUAUCGCUUCCUCUCAUGAAAAGCCUUUUUCUUGGGACAGAGAGAGAAAUUGACAACCGUUGAGAGACAUGAAUCUAACUAGCAGUCGAAGUUGGGGAGUCAAAACAGUUGAGAGAAGCUUGGUAACAUUAAGAACGUAAGGUUGUUGCAGGGUUGCAAAGAUGAACGAAGAAGAAUGGAAGAACUUGUCUGUGGAACAAAAGGAUCCCUAAGAAUUUGCUGACAGAAACCUGAAUACAGGCAUGUAUGUAACGGUAUAUUUCUCUAAGUCAAUUUAUACAGUUCUGAUUGAUUAAGUCUAUUUAUACAGUUCUGAUUGAUUUUGUUCAAGCUACUCAUAACAUAAGUCUCGUAUAUUCUAUAUCCUUAAAUUUUUUGGUUGCU